This 70-nucleotide transfer RNA is filed under the name Dipodomys ordii (Ord's kangaroo rat). It matches the Rfam family "tRNA". Rfam says of the family: Transfer RNA (tRNA) molecules are approximately 80 nucleotides in length. The record is from Rfam by way of RNAcentral. Lineage: Eukaryota; Metazoa; Chordata; Mammalia; Rodentia; Heteromyidae.
GGGAACGUGGCUCAGUGGUAGAGUGCUUGCCUUGCAUGCAUGAGGACCUGGGUUCGAUUCCUCAGCACCA